AUACUUACCUUGGGCACAGGGGUAAGCACCAUGAUCACGAAGGUGGUUCCCCCAAGGUGAGGCUCACCAUUGCACUCCGGUGGUGCUGACCCUUGCGAUUGACCCAAAUGUGGUCAACUCGGGUGCGCAAUUUUUGGUAGCGGGGGACUGCGUUCGCGCUAUCCCCCU
Small nuclear RNA from Macrobrachium nipponense, 168 nucleotides. RefSeq annotates it as U1 spliceosomal RNA. The record is from RefSeq and is a predicted model, not a curated record. The transcript has a single exon. NCBI's taxonomy places the organism in Eukaryota, Metazoa, Arthropoda, Malacostraca, Decapoda, Palaemonidae.